GUCGGGUAUGGUGGUGCACACCUGUAAUCCCAGCGGCUCAGGAGGCUGAGGCAGGAGGAUCACGGGUUCAAAGCCAGCCUCAGCAAAAAUGAGGCGCUAAGCAACUCAGUGACACCAUGUCUCUA
RNAcentral lists this small RNA (125 nucleotides) under Marmota monax (woodchuck). Lineage: Eukaryota; Metazoa; Chordata; Mammalia; Rodentia; Sciuridae. The record is from RNAcentral.